UCCUGUAGGUUUACAGUCCAACCCUCUUCCUGGAGAUCUACUGUCCUGUAGGUUUUCAGUCCAACCCUCUUCCUGGAGAUCUACUGUCCUGUAGGUUAUCAGUCCAACCCUCUUCCUGGAGAUCUACUGUCCUGUAGGUUAUCAGUCCAACCCUCUUCCUGGAGAUCUACUGUCCUGUAGGUUAUCAGUCCAACCCUCUUCCUGGAGAUCUACUGUCCUGUAGGUUAUCAGUCCAACCCUCUUCCUGGAGAUCUACUGUCCUGUAGGUUAUCAGUCCAACCCUCUUCCUGGAGAUCUACUGUCCUGUAGGUUAUCAGUCCAACCCUCUUCCUGGAGAUCUACUGUCCUGUAGGUUAUCAGUCCAACCCUCUUCCUGGAGAUCUACUGUCCUGUAGGUUUACAGUCCAACCCUCUUCCUGGAGAUCUACUGUCCUGUAGGUUUACAGUCCAACCCUCUUCCUGGAGAUCUACUGUCCUGUAGGUUAUCAGUCCAACCCUCUUCCUGGAGAUCUACUGUCCUGUAGGUUAUCAGUCCAACCCUCUUCCUGGAGAUCUACUGUCCUGUAGGUUAUCAGUCCAACCCUCUUCCUGGAGAUCUACUGUCCUGUAGGUUAUCAGUCCAACCCUCUUCCUGGAGAUCUACUGUCCUGUAGGUUAUCAGUCCAACCCUCUUCCUGGAGAUCUACUGUCCUGUAGGUUAUCAGUCCAACCCUCUUCCUGGAGAUCUACUGUCCUGUAGGUUUUCAGUCCAACCCUCUUCCUGGAGAUCUACUGUCCUGUAGGUUAUCAGUCCAACCCUCUUCCUGGAGAUCUACUGUCCUGUAGGUUUUCAGUCCAACCCUCUUCCUGGAGAUCUACUGUCCUGUAGGUUUACAGUCCAACCCUCUUCCUGGAGAUCUACUGUCCUGUAGGUUUUCAGUCCAACCCUCUUCCUGGAGAUCUACUGUCCUGUAGGUUAUCAGUCCAACCCUCUUCCUGGAGAUCUACUGUCCUGUAGGUUAUCAGUCCAACCCUCUUC
This is a long non-coding RNA of Oncorhynchus keta (chum salmon), 1018 nucleotides long. RefSeq lists it as uncharacterized. The record is from RefSeq and is a predicted model, not a curated record. The transcript has 4 exons. NCBI's taxonomy places the organism in Eukaryota, Metazoa, Chordata, Actinopteri, Salmoniformes, Salmonidae.